GUCAUUAGGGGUGAUCUGGGCUAUUUGCUGGCUAACUGGGUGACUAAGUAACCCCUUCCUCCCUAACCAUGUCAUGUGCAUCUUUUCUGAAGCUGCAGGCUCAGUGAAAGGUAAUGACUUUCCUAGACAGAAGAGAGUCGUUGUUAGUCAUAGGUCCAUGCUUCUUUAGAAACUCCAACUGAGCUCUGCUUAUAAAAACAGUAAAGGUACUUUUGUAUAAGUUUUAGUUUUGCACUACUUAGGCAAUAUUUGAAAAACUUAGGCAGGAAUCC
This 272-nucleotide small nuclear RNA is filed under the name Castor canadensis (American beaver). RNAcentral's name for it is "7SK RNA (ENSCCNG00000009297.1)". It matches the Rfam family "7SK RNA". Rfam says of the family: 7SK was discovered as an abundant small nuclear RNA in the mid-70s but a possible function has only recently been suggested. The record is from RNAcentral. Lineage: Eukaryota; Metazoa; Chordata; Mammalia; Rodentia; Castoridae.